GUAGGUGGCAAGCGUUGUCCGGAAUUAUUGGGCGUAAAGCGCGCGCAGGCGGUUCUUUAAGUCUGAUGUGAAAGCCCACGGCUCAACCGUGGAGGGUCAUUGGAAACUGGAGAACUUGAGUACAGAAGAGGAAAGCGGAAUUCCACGUGUAGCGGUGAAAUGCGUAGAGAUGUGGAGGAACACCAGUGGCGAAGGCGGCUUUCUGGUCUGUAACUGACGCUGAGGCGCGAAAGCGUGGGGAGCAAACAGGGAUUAGAUACCCUGGUAGUCCACGCCGUAAACGAUGAGUGCUAAGUGUUAGGGGGGUUUCCGCCCCCUUAGUGCUGCAGCUAACGCAUUAAGCACUCCGCUGGGGAUACGGCCGCAAGGCUG
RNAcentral lists this ribosomal RNA (372 nucleotides) under uncultured organism. RNAcentral describes it as "partial 16S ribosomal RNA". It matches the Rfam family "Bacterial small subunit ribosomal RNA", at positions 527 to 896 of the family's 1533-position model. The record is from RNAcentral.